This 72-nucleotide transfer RNA is filed under the name Lamellomphalus manusensis. RNAcentral describes it as "tRNA-Gln". It matches the Rfam family "tRNA". From Rfam's summary of the family: Transfer RNA (tRNA) molecules are approximately 80 nucleotides in length. Their secondary structure includes four short double-helical elements and three loops (D, anti-codon, and T loops). Lineage: Eukaryota; Metazoa; Mollusca; Gastropoda; Neomphalida; Neomphalidae. The record is from RNAcentral.
UAUAAGGUAUCAUAGCAGGAAAUGAGUAGAAUUUUGAAUUCUAUUAGAAAAGUUCGAAGCUUUUUCUUAUAG